This 468-nucleotide ribosomal RNA is filed under the name uncultured bacterium. Its description in RNAcentral is "partial 16S ribosomal RNA". It matches the Rfam family "Bacterial small subunit ribosomal RNA", at positions 28 to 507 of the family's 1533-position model. The record is from RNAcentral.
GACGAACGCUGGCGGCGUGCUUAACACAUGCAAGUCGAACGGAAAGGCCCUGCUUUUGUGGGGUGCUCGAGUGGCGAACGGGUGAGUAACACGUGAGUAACCUGCCCUUGACUUUGGGAUAACUUCAGGAAACUGGGGCUAAUACAGGAUAGGAGCUCCUGCUGCAUGGUGGGGGUUGGAAAGUUUCGGCGGUUGGGGAUGGACUCGCGGCUUAUCAGCUUGUUGGUGGGGUAGUGGCUUACCAAGGCUUUGACGGGUAGCCGGCCUGAGAGGGUGACCGGCCACAUUGGGACUGAGAUACGGCCCAGACUCCUACGGGAGGCAGCAGUGGGGAAUAUUGCACAAUGGGCGGAAGCCUGAUGCAGCAACGCCGCGUGCGGGAUGACGGCCUUCGGGUUGUAAACCGCUUUCGCCUGUGACGAAGCGUGAGUGACGGUAAUGGGUAAAGAAGCACCGGCUAACUACGUG